Non-coding RNA from Heterocephalus glaber (naked mole-rat), 314 nucleotides. The record is from Rfam. NCBI's taxonomy places the organism in Eukaryota, Metazoa, Chordata, Mammalia, Rodentia, Bathyergidae.
GCAUGGGAGGAUGAUCUGGCUGCGACCCCUGUCACUCCAUUGAUCGUCAGGGAUGAUUCAGCUGAUCUGGCUGGCUAGGUGGUUGUUUCCUUCCUCCCUCACUGCUCCAUGUGCAUCCCUCCUGAAGCUGCACCUGCUGUUGAAGAGGACGACCACCCCCGAUAGAGGGGGACCAUUUCCUGGUGUAUGAGUAGCUGUGUUCCCCUGCUAGAACCUCCAAGCAAGCUCUCAAGAAAUGCGUCCUUUGGGCCAGGGUUUGUGUUCCCUGGACAGAAUGGCAUGUUCUAAUGAUGUGAUCUGGGCCGUAUUUCUGG